RNAcentral lists this ribosomal RNA (300 nucleotides) under uncultured Colwelliaceae bacterium. RNAcentral's name for it is "bacterial SSU rRNA". It matches the Rfam family "Bacterial small subunit ribosomal RNA", at positions 114 to 414 of the family's 1533-position model. The record is from RNAcentral. Lineage: Bacteria; Pseudomonadati; Pseudomonadota; Gammaproteobacteria; Alteromonadales; Colwelliaceae.
UGCUUGGGAAUAUGCCUUUAGGUGGGGACGAACAGUUGGAAACAACUGCUAAUACCGCAUAAUGUCUACGGACCAAAGAAGGGGGACCGUUCGGGCCUCUUGCCUUUAGAUUAGCCCAAGUGAGAUUAGCUAGUAGGUGAGGUAAUGGCUCACCUAGGCGACGAUCUCUAGCUGGUUUGAGAGGAUGAUCAGCAACACUGGGACUGAGACACGGCCCAGACUCCUACGGGAGGCAGCAGUGGGGAAGUCUUAGACAAUGGGCGCAAGCCUGAUCUAGCGAUGCCGCGUGAGUGAUGAAGG